This 580-nucleotide ribosomal RNA is filed under the name uncultured Dactylosporangium sp. Its description in RNAcentral is "bacterial SSU rRNA". It matches the Rfam family "Bacterial small subunit ribosomal RNA", at positions 28 to 628 of the family's 1533-position model. Lineage: Bacteria; Bacillati; Actinomycetota; Actinomycetes; Micromonosporales; Micromonosporaceae. The record is from RNAcentral.
GACGAACGCUGGCGGCGUGCUUAACACAUGCAAGUCGAGCGGAAAGGCUUCGGGGUACUCGAGCGGCGAACGGGUGAGUAACACGUGAGUAACCUGCCCUAGGCUUUGGGAUAACCCUCGGAAACGGGGGCUAAUACCGAAUAUNCAUGUUCCGCGGCAUCGUGGGUGUGGAAAGUUUUUCGGCCUGGGAUGGGCUCGCGGCCUAUCAGCUUGUUGGUGGGGUGAUGGCCUACCAAGGCGACGACGGGUAGCCGGCCUGAGAGGGCGACCGGCCACACUGGGACUGAGACACGGCCCAGACUCNUACGGGAGGCAGCAGUGGGGAAUAUUGCACAAUGGGCGGAAGCCUGAUGCAGCGACGCCGCGUGAGGGAUGAAGGCCUUCGGGUUGUAAACCUCUUUCGACAGGGACGAAGCGCAAGUGACGGUACCUGGAGAAGAAGCGCCGGCCAACUACGUGCCAGCAGCCGCGGUAAGACGUAGGGCGCGAGCGUUGUCCGGAAUUAUUGGGCGUAAAGAGCUCGUAGGCGGCUUGUUGCGUCAGCUGUGAAAACCCGCAGCUCAACUGUGGGCUUGCAGCU